AUAAUUAGAAUUUGGCCGGUUCAUCAUUUUUCUUUUAGCAGUGAUCAUGGAUGAAACUCCUUUCCUAUCAUGGCAAAGUCUUGCUCAUGCAUCAUAUUUGAAUCCUUGUUCUACAGUCAGCUUACUGUUAAUUUUUCAGCCAACUUCUAUGAGAAUUAGUUGCAGGUUUUGAAAGAUGAAUGUAGUUAGGUUCUAUUAGGCUAUUGGCUCAUCUAUGAGCAAUAUAUUUCCAACCUUUAUUCAUUAUGUAAUUCUUCAAAUUUACUAAGUAUGUUAGUUGCCAGUCUAUAUAUCAUCUUAUCAACAGAAAUAUGUGGUCUAUAUUUUGUCUUCACUUUCGUGUGUUUCACAUAUCUUAUAUGCUAUCUCAUGGUUGUUUUUUAUUUUAUUACAGCCUGCUGCAGAAUAUUUAAAUAGGAAAAGUUUAGAGGGAAACACAAUUGCUGAGAAAUUAGAUAGCUUGAUUGAGCUGACUUUUUUGCAUCUUGAGUCCUGUUGUCUGAGGUUGUCUGAGGUAUUUGAUGUUCUAGUGAGAUCAUUUCAAAGGACUAUUUUGAAUACCUACAAGUCAAAAUUCACCCAGUUUGUGGUGUUUUAUGCAU
Non-coding RNA from Arachis ipaensis, 602 nucleotides. The record is from RefSeq and is a predicted model, not a curated record. NCBI's taxonomy places the organism in Eukaryota, Viridiplantae, Streptophyta, Magnoliopsida, Fabales, Fabaceae.